GCAUCGAUGAAGAACGCAGCGAAAUGCGAUACGUAAUGUGAAUUGCAGAAUUUAGUGAAUCAUCGAAUCUUUGAACGCACAUUGCGCCCCCUGGUAUUCCGGGGGGCAUGCCUGUUCGAGCGUCAUUUCACCACUCAAGCCUCGCUUGGUAUUGGGCGACGCGGUCCGCCGCGCGCCUCAAAUCGACCGGCUGGGUCUUCUGUCCCCUCAGCGUUGUGGAAACUAUUCGCUAAAGGGUGCCACGGGAGGUCACGCCGUAAAACAAGCCCAUUUCUAAGGUUGACCUCGGAUCAGGUAGGGAUACCCGCUGAACUUAAGCAUAUCAAUAAGCGGAGGA
This 337-nucleotide ribosomal RNA is filed under the name uncultured fungus. Its description in RNAcentral is "eukaryotic LSU rRNA". The stretch from base 1 to 125 matches the Rfam family "5.8S ribosomal RNA", at positions 30 to 154 of the family's 154-position model. The record is from RNAcentral. Lineage: Eukaryota; Fungi.